This 468-nucleotide ribosomal RNA is filed under the name uncultured bacterium. RNAcentral describes it as "partial 16S ribosomal RNA". It matches the Rfam family "Bacterial small subunit ribosomal RNA", at positions 28 to 507 of the family's 1533-position model. The record is from RNAcentral.
GACGAACGCUGGCGGCGUGCUUAACACAUGCAAGUCGAAAGGAAAGGCCCUGCUUUUGUGGGGUGCUCGAGUGGCGAACGGGUGAGUAACACGUGAGUAACCUGCCCUUGACUUUGGGAUAACUUCAGGAAACUGGGGCUAAUACAGGAUAGGAGCUCCUGCUGCAUGGUGGGGGUUGGAAAGUCUCGGCGGUUGGGGAUGGACUCGCGGCGUAUCAGCUGGUUGGUGGGGUAGUGGCUUACCAAGGCUUUGUCGGGUAGCCGGCCUGAGAGGGUGACCGGCCACGUUGGGACUGAGAUCCGGCCCAGACUUCUACGGGAGGCAGCAGAGGGGAGUAUUGCAUGAUAGGCGGAAUCCUGAUGCAGCAACGCCGCGUGCGGGAUGACGGCCUUCGGGUUGUAAUCCGCAUUCGUCUGUGACGGAGCGUGAGUGACGGUAAUGGGUAAAGAAGCACCGGCUAACUACGUG